This is a long non-coding RNA of Cyprinus carpio (common carp), 1593 nucleotides long. Lineage: Eukaryota; Metazoa; Chordata; Actinopteri; Cypriniformes; Cyprinidae. The record is from Ensembl.
CUUGGGGGCGUUUUACCCCACAACCUAUGACUUUUUCAAAAAAUGUUUAAUUUUUUAAGUAUAAUUAUAUUCCUUAUAAAUAACAUAUCCUCUCAAACUACAGACUUCAUUAUUCAUCUAUCAUACAUCACUGUGAUAUCCUGCAGAACAAUAUUCUCUUAAACACUUGUUUACUAAUAUCUGAAAAUUAUAGCGCUUACCAUGUAAUCCUCUUCUCUUCAAAUACGUCGCUGGUGUCAGCUUCUCCAAGGAGAUUUGUUUAUCCCCGUUGUCAAACGUAGUGCAUAGCAACAGUGAAAAUGUAUCUUGACUAUCUCUAGUGGUUAUUUUGGGAAAAACAGGUGGGGGGCGUUUUACCCCACUCUACCCUACGUUAUAGUUGUCACCUGGAUGAACAGUUAACAGUUGUUUUCAUGACUGUCAGUCAUUCUCCUUGCAUGCUAUUGACGUUAGAGAAGUGUAUAGUAGUUUCGCAUAUAACUUUAGAGACGGUCCCUAGAUUUGCGACUAUCGAAUCAAGCCAACUUUAUGCCAGUGCGUACUCUGAGCUCAAAAUGCGUACAGGUUGGCAGGUCUCAUGCAUCAAUGCUUAACAGCUCUCUUGUUUAUCAGAUUGUAAAUAGAUUUUAGGCAAACCACUGAAAUCUCAGCACAUUUCGAAACAGUUAUGACGCAACGAAGCCUCGUUCACUGAAACCACGUGACUUCUGCGGUUUGAACACGUGCUGCGAAGAGCUAUUUUGAAACAAAUGAUUCAAAGGAUUCGAAGCCCGGAGCAGCGCGUGCACGUCAGCCGCGGACUCUUAUUCUGACACGCGUCGCCGCUGUCAGCUUCUCGAGCUCAAGACUGGAGAUUAUAUUACAGCAGAUGCAGAUCUACACUGAAGAGCACAUCAGCGGAGGAUCUUCCUCGUCCUCAGUGCUGGAUUUAUUCAUGAAGAGCUCUGCCGCUGCUGACCAGAGACUGGACACGUCCGGCUUGUUUUCUGUGAUAGAUCGUUCCCGUGACACUGGAGUGUCUGGAGCAGAAGAGACUCAUAUAUACUCCUUGUGGUCUGUAGACAGGACUCAUUCAGGACAUGAAGCUGAGGCGCACACUCACUCCUCCUCCAGUGAAGAGGUGACUCAGGAGAGAAGUCUGCACGGUCAGACAGAGCCACACAGCUCGGUCAGGGUUUGUGAGAGACAGCAGAGAUGUGGAAGUGUUAUUAUGGGUCAUGGACUCAGAUCUUAGCAGGAAGCAGCGGUCUGAAGCUUCUUCUGAACACGCCGCUGUUGGUUUCUCUGGACGAUGUUAUGGAUGGACUGCAGCGUGUGUGAAUGGUUUGUGGUUACUAUUAGGUCUUUAUUACUACAAACUCAUCCAACCUUUCCUCAGGAGUUAAUUUACCUGAUACCUUCUGCUCCUGCUCCGGUAAAACUGAAUUAUACUGUCAGAGUGUGUGUGUGUGUGUGUGUGAGAGAGAGAGAGAGAGAGAGAGUGUGUGUGUGUUUGUGAGAGAGGGAGAGAGUGUGUGUGUGUGUGAGAGAGUGUGUGUGUGUGUGUGUGUGUGUGUAAGAGAGUGUGUGUGUGUGUGUGUGUGUGAGAGAGAG